AUGCCGCCGACGACCCCCGUUCCAUCUCUGCCGGAAGAGCUUCUCGAGGAGGUCUUCCUCCACCUCCCGCCGGACGAGCCGGAGCACCUCGUGCGCGCCUCCCUCGCCAGCAAGCUCUGGCUCGGCCUCCUCACCGGCGCUCGCUUCCGCGGCCGCUACCGCGAUUUCCAUGGUGCUCCCCCCAUGCUCGGCUUCCUAUAUACCCUGCCCUUCUUAUGUUCCAGUCCGCUGUCGACAGACCCCCGCCCACACUUCCUCUCCACCACGAAAUUCGCCGCACGCAUUCCCGACCACCUCCGGGGGUACUCGGAGUACGAUGCGCAGGAUUGCCGCCAUGGCCGCGUUCUCGAUCUGGGACCCAGGAUCCUCUUCAUUUGGAACCCAAUGACGGGCUGCUCCACAGAGCUGCCCCCGUCCACAGAAUACAUGGAGGCCGAAAGCAGUGGGGCUGCGGUGCUCUGCGCCGUCACCGGCUGUGACCACCGUGCGUGUCACGAGGGCCCCUUCCGAGUCGUCUUUGUCUACCUGGACCAGGAUGAGGGCGAGGGUGUUUGUGUUGCAUCCGCAACCGUGCUCUUGUCUGAUUCCAGCAAGCGGUCCAAUGGCAAAUGGUGUGAGCCGUGCUCUCGUCUUGAUCUUGUGGAUGAUGCAUUCAUUGAGGCAAGACCCCCAGUCCUCGUCCAAGACGCACUUCACUUCAUGCUUAGGCACUAUGGAUUAUCGUCGUGUAGGAAUUCUCAAGUAUGA
RNAcentral lists this ribosomal RNA (747 nucleotides) under Triticum aestivum (bread wheat). RNAcentral's name for it is "partial small subunit ribosomal RNA". The record is from RNAcentral. Lineage: Eukaryota; Viridiplantae; Streptophyta; Magnoliopsida; Poales; Poaceae.